RNAcentral lists this ribosomal RNA (723 nucleotides) under Kocuria sp. AB006. Its description in RNAcentral is "bacterial SSU rRNA". It matches the Rfam family "Bacterial small subunit ribosomal RNA", at positions 755 to 1456 of the family's 1533-position model. The record is from RNAcentral. Lineage: Bacteria; Bacillati; Actinomycetota; Actinomycetes; Micrococcales; Micrococcaceae.
AAAGGCCAUGGGGAACGAACCAGGAUUAGAUACCCUGGUAGUCCCAAUUCCGUAACCGUUGGGGCACUUAGGUUUGGGAACAUUCCCACGUUUUUCCGGCGCCGGUAGCUAACGCCAUUAAGUGCCCCGCCUGGGGAAGUACGCCGCAAGGCUUAAAACUCAAAGGAAUUGACGGGGGCCCGCACAAACGACGGAGCAUGCGGGAUUAAUUCGAUGCAACGCGAAGAACCUUACCAAGGCUUGACAUACACCGGACCGGGCCAGAGAUGGUCUUUCCCCCUUGUGGGGCUGGUGUACAGGUGGUGCAUGGUUGUCGUCAGCUCGUGUCGUGAGAUGUUGGGUUAAGUCCCGCAACGAGCGCAACCCUCGUUCUAUGUUGCCAGCACGUGAUGGUGGGGACUCAUAGGAGACUGCCGGGGUCAACUCGGAGGAAGGUGGGGAUGACGUCUAAUCAUCAUGCCCCUUAUGUCUUGGGCUUAGAGCGCAUGCUACAAUGGCCAGUACAAUGGGUUGUCGAUGCCGCGAGGUGGAGCUAAUCCCAAAAAGCUGGUCUCAGUUCGGAUCGUGGUCUGCAACUCGACCACGUGAAGUCGGAGUCGCUAGUAAUCGCAGAUCAGCAACGCUGCGGUGAAUACGUUCCCGGGCCUUGUACACACCGCCCGUCAAGUCACGAAAGUUGGUAACACCCGAAGCCGGUGGCCUAACCCUUGUGGGGGGAGCCGU